CAAAAAUACGAUACGGGACUCAUCCGAGGCCCCGUAAUCGGAAUGAGUACACUCUAAACCCUUUAACGAGGAUCAAUUGGAGGGCAAGUCUGGUGCCAGCAGCCGCGGUAACACCAGCUCCAAUAGCGUAUAUUAAAGUUGUUGCGGUUAAAAAGCUCGUAGUCGAAUUUGUGUCCCGCGCCGCCGGUUCAUCGCUCGCGGUGUUAACUGGCGUGUCCGCGGGACGUCCUGCCGGUGGGCUUAGCUUUCGGGCGGCCCAAUCUCAAUCCCACCGCGGUGCUCUUUACUGAGUGUCGAGGUGGGCCGGCACGUUUACUUUGAACAAAUUAGAGUGCUUAAAGCAGGCUAAAAUAUCGCCUGAAUACUGUGUGCAUGGAAUAAUGGAAUAGGACCUCGGUUCUAUUUUGUUGGUUUUCGGAACCCCGAGGUAAUGAUUAAUAGGAACGGAUGGGGGCAUUCGUAUUGCGACGUUAGAGGUGAAAUUGUUGGAUCGUCGCAAGACGGACAGAAGCGAAAGCAUUUGCCAAAAACGUUUUCAUUGAUCAAGAACGAAAGUUAGAGGUUCGAAGGCGAUCAGAUACCGCCCUAGUUCUAACCAUAAACGAUGCCAGCUAGCGAUCCGCCGACGUUCCUCCGAUGACUCGGCGGGCAGCUUCCGGGAAACCAAAGCUUUUGGGAUCCGGGGGAAGUAUGGUUGCAAAGCUGAAACUUAAAGGAAUUGACGGAAGGGCACCACCAGGAGUGGAGCCUGCGGCUUAAUUUGACUCAACACGGGAAACCUCACCAGGCCCGGACACCGGAAGGAUUGACAGAUUGAGAG
This 820-nucleotide ribosomal RNA is filed under the name Helictopleurus corruscus. Its description in RNAcentral is "SSU rRNA". It matches the Rfam family "Eukaryotic small subunit ribosomal RNA", at positions 472 to 1254 of the family's 1831-position model. Lineage: Eukaryota; Metazoa; Arthropoda; Insecta; Coleoptera; Scarabaeidae. The record is from RNAcentral.